This 368-nucleotide ribosomal RNA is filed under the name uncultured bacterium. RNAcentral describes it as "bacterial SSU rRNA". It matches the Rfam family "Bacterial small subunit ribosomal RNA", at positions 796 to 1165 of the family's 1533-position model. The record is from RNAcentral.
CACGCCGUAAACGAUGUCUACUCGGAGUUUGGUGUCUUGAACACUGGGCUCUCAAGCUAACGCAUUAAGUAGACCGCCUGGGGAGUACGGCCGCAAGGUUAAAACUCAAAUGAAUUGACGGGGCCGCACAAGCGGUGGAGCAUGUGGUUUAAUUCGAUGCAACGCGAAGAACCUUACCUACUCUUGACAUCCACGGAAUUCGCUAGAGAUAGCUUAGUGCCUUCGGGAACCGUGAGACAGGUGCUGCAUGGCUGUCGUCAGCUCGUGUUGUGAAAUGUUGGGUUAAGUCCCGCAACGAGCGCAACCCCUAUCCUUAUUUGCCAGCACGUAAUGGUGGGAACUCUAGGGAGACUGCCGGUGAUAAACCG